This is a long non-coding RNA of Mirounga angustirostris (Northern elephant seal), 570 nucleotides long. RefSeq lists it as uncharacterized. Lineage: Eukaryota; Metazoa; Chordata; Mammalia; Carnivora; Phocidae. The transcript has 3 exons. The record is from RefSeq and is a predicted model, not a curated record.
CCCCUGGUUUCUACGUAUUUUUAUCAACUCUGAAUUUUUCUGAUAAGUCCUUCACGUUUUUUCUUAGAUCCAAGGUCUAUAUACAAAAUGUGUUUUCUAACUAUGGCCUAUGGAAAAGAACACCCCAUUUUUGUCUUUUUGUGUUACAGAUUUCUCUUGUACAAUUUCUCCUUGAAAAUUGCCUCAGGAUAUUUGGCGAAGACAUCACUUCCUUCUUGGGAGAGAAGUCAAUGAGUCGUGACUCCGGCCAGAAAACUGUGAAAAGCUGUUCCUUCAGAGACAGGGCCUUUUGGUGGGGCUCCAGCACUUGCCAGCAAAACCAGUGCACAGCCCCACAUUCUGCAAAGCCAGGAGAGCUCUUUGGAGUUUGCCUCAUGGUUGUGUGUUAUAAAGACAACCUGGCCUUCCCAAUUCUGGCUAUGCUUUCCUUUAUUAAUCAAAAAGGGCCCAUCACAGAAGGCAUAUUCAGAAACUCAGCCAAUAUAAAAUCCUGCCAUGUCCUAAAGGAGAAACUAAAUUCUGGGGUCAAAGUGAACCCGUACAGCGAAUCUGUUCAUGUGGUCGCAUCCG